RNAcentral lists this ribosomal RNA (587 nucleotides) under uncultured Bacteroidota bacterium. Its description in RNAcentral is "bacterial SSU rRNA". It matches the Rfam family "Bacterial small subunit ribosomal RNA", at positions 8 to 590 of the family's 1533-position model. The record is from RNAcentral. Lineage: Bacteria; Pseudomonadati; Bacteroidota.
AGAGUUUGAUCAUGGCUCAGGAUGAACGCUAGCGGCAGGCCUAACACAUGCAAGUCGAGGGGUAACAGGGAAAGCUUGCCUUCCGCUGACGACCGGCGAACGGGUGCGUAACACGUAUGCAACCUACCUUCCACUGGGGUAUAGCCCAGAGAAAUUUGGAUUAAUCCCCCAUAGAACCAAGAGUCGCAUGGCUCAAUGGUUAAAGGAUUCCGGUGGAAGAUGGGCAUGCGUCCCAUUAGCUAGUAGGUGAGGUAAUGGCUCACCUAGGCAACGAUGGGUAGGGGGUCUGAGAGGAUGAUCCCCCACACUGGUACUGAGACACGGACCAGACUCCUACGGGAGGCAGCAGUGAGGAAUAUUGCGCAAUGGACGAAAGUCUGACGCAGCCAUGCCGCGUGAAGGAUGACUGCCCUAUGGGUUGUAAACUUCUUUUAUAUACCAAGAAACCUUGGGACGUGUCCCGAGCUGACGGUAGUAUAUGAAUAAGCACCGGCUAACUCCGUGCCAGCAGCCGCGGUAAUACGGAGGGUGCAAGCGUUAUCCGGAUUUAUUGGGUUUAAAGGGUCCGUAGGUGGACCAUUAAGUCA